This 446-nucleotide ribosomal RNA is filed under the name uncultured organism. Its description in RNAcentral is "partial 16S ribosomal RNA". It matches the Rfam family "Bacterial small subunit ribosomal RNA", at positions 335 to 797 of the family's 1533-position model. The record is from RNAcentral.
ACUCCUGCGGGAGGCAGCAGUGGGGAAUAUUGGACAAUGGGCGCAAGCCUGAUCCAGCCAUGCCGCGUGAGUGAUGAAGGCCCUAGGGUUGUAAAGCUCUUUCACCGGUGAAGAUAAUGACGGUAACCGGAGAAGAAGCCCCGGCUAACUUCGUGCCAGCAGCCGCGGUAAUACGAAGGGGGCUAGCGUUGUUCGGAUUUACUGGGCGUAAAGCGCACGUAGGCGGACUAUUAAGUCAGGGGUGAAAUCCCGGGGCUCAACCCCGGAACUGCCUUUGAUACUGGUAGUCUUGAGUUCGAGAGAGGUGAGUGGAAUUCCGAGUGUAGAGGUGAAAUUCGUAGAUAUUCGGAGGAACACCAGUGGCGAAGGCGGCUCACUGGCUCGAUACUGACGCUGAGGUGCGAAAGCGUGGGGAGCAAACAGGAUUAGAUACCCCGGUAGUCCCA